GGGUUUAUGAUGAGUUAUGAUUACAGAGCAUGAAGAAGUGAAGCUCAAUGUGAGUACUCUGAAGUCC
Molecule: small nucleolar RNA, 67 nt
Organism: Leptonychotes weddellii (Weddell seal)
Lineage: Eukaryota; Metazoa; Chordata; Mammalia; Carnivora; Phocidae
Product: small nucleolar RNA SNORD64
Source: RefSeq, a predicted model, not a curated record